GAAGCGGCAAAAGCUCAAAUUUGAAAUCUAGCACCUUCGGUUGUUCGAGUUUGUAAUUUGAAGAUGGUAACCUUGGGUUUGGCUCUUGUCUAUGUUCCUUGGAACAGGACGUCAUAGAGGGUGAGAAUCCCGUCUGAUGAGAUGCCCAUUCCUAUGUAAGGUGCUAUCGAAGAGUCGAGUUGUUUGGGAAUGCAGCUCUAAGUGGGUGGUAAAUUCCAUCUAAAGCUAAAUAUUGGCGAGAGACCGAUAGCGAACAAGUACAGUGAUGGAAAGAUGAAAAGAACUUUGAAAAGAGAGUGAAAAAGUACGUGAAAUUGUUGAAAGGGAAGGGCAUUAGAUCAGACUUGGUGUUUUACGAUUAUCUUCUCUUCUUGAGCUGUGCACUCGUAUUUCACUGGGCCAGCAUCGAUUCGGAUGGCAAGAUAAUGGCAGUUGAAUGUGGCUUCACUUCGGUGGAGUGUUAUAGCUUCUGCUGAUAUUGCCUGUCUGGAUCGAGGGCUGCGUCUUUUGACUAGGAUGCUGGCGUAAUG
This 530-nucleotide ribosomal RNA is filed under the name Wickerhamomyces sp. RNAcentral describes it as "eukaryotic LSU rRNA". It matches the Rfam family "Eukaryotic large subunit ribosomal RNA", at positions 95 to 636 of the family's 3401-position model. The record is from RNAcentral. Lineage: Eukaryota; Fungi; Ascomycota; Saccharomycetes; Phaffomycetales; Wickerhamomycetaceae.